This 632-nucleotide ribosomal RNA is filed under the name uncultured bacterium. Its description in RNAcentral is "bacterial SSU rRNA". The stretch from base 1 to 532 matches the Rfam family "Bacterial small subunit ribosomal RNA", at positions 338 to 873 of the family's 1533-position model. The record is from RNAcentral.
CCUACGGGAGGCAGCAGUGAGGAAUAUUGGACAAUGGGCGCAAGCCUGAUCCAGCCAUGCCGCGUGCAGGAAGACGGUCCUAUGGAUUGUAAACUGCUUUUAUACAGGAAGAAACACCUCUACGUGUAGAGACUUGACGGUACUGUAUGAAUAAGCAUCGGCUAACUCCGUGCCAGCAGCCGCGGUAAUACGGAGGAUGCAAGCGUUAUCCGGAAUCAUUGGGUUUAAAGGGUCCGUAGGCGGUUUAAUAAGUCAGUGGUGAAAGCCCAUCGCUCAACGAUGGAACGGCCAUUGAUACUGUUAAACUUGAAUUAUUAGGAAGUAACUAGAAUAUGUAGUGUAGCGGUGAAAUGCUUAGAGAUUACAUGGAAUACCAAUUGCGAAGGCAGGUUACUACUAAUAUAUUGACGCUGAUGGACGAAAGCGUGGGGAGCGAACAGGAUUAGAUACCCUGGUAGUCCACGCCGUAAACGAUGGAUACUAGCUGUUCGGAGCAAUCUGAGUGNGUAGAGAAGAGAGUAAGUAUACCACCGUCGGGAGGUACGUUACGUCGAAGAAGUAGAAACGUUAAAAGGUAAAGUUAAGUACGGACGUAGAGACGUAGACCGACGGACGACGACGAGGGGAGGAGG